This 387-nucleotide ribosomal RNA is filed under the name uncultured bacterium. RNAcentral describes it as "bacterial SSU rRNA". It matches the Rfam family "Bacterial small subunit ribosomal RNA", at positions 28 to 417 of the family's 1533-position model. The record is from RNAcentral.
GACGAACGCUGGCGGCGUGCUUAACACAUGCAAGUCGAGCGGUAAGGCCCUUUCGGGGGUACACGAGCGGCGAACGGGUGAGUAACACGUGGGUGACCUGCCCUCAGCUCUGGGAUAAGCCUGGGAAACCGGGUCUAAUACUGGAUAUGACUCCAUGACGCAUGUUGUGGGGUGGAAAGCCUUGUGCGGCUGAGGAUGGGCCCGCGGCCUAUCAGCUUGUGGUGGGGUGAUGGCCUACCAAGGCGACGACGGGUAGCCGGCCUGAGAGGGCGACCGGCCACACUGGGACUGAGACACGGCCCAGACUCUACGGGAGGGCAGCAGUGGGGAAUCUUGCGCAAUGGGCGAAAGCCUGACGCAGCGACGCCGCGUGAGGGAUGACGGCCU